GACGAACGCUGGCGGCGUGCUUAACACAUGCAAGUCGAACGGAAAGGCCCUGCUUUUGUGGGGUGCUCGAGUGGCGAACGGGUGAGUAACACGUGAGUAACCUGCCCUUGACUUUGGGAUAACUUCAGGAAACUGGGGCUAAUACCGGAUAGGAGCUCCUGCUGCAUGGUGGGGGUUGGAAAGUUUCGGCGGUUGGGGAUGGACUCGCGGCUUAUCAGCUUGUUGGUGGGGUAGUGGCUUACCAAGGCUUUGACGGGUAGCCGGCCUGAGAGGGUGACCGGCCACAUUGGGACUGAGAUACGGCCCAGACUGCUACGGGAGGCAGCAGUGGGGAAUAUUGCACAAUGGGCGGAAGCCUGAUGAAGCAACGCCGCGGGCGGGAUGACGGCCUUCGGGUUGUAAACCGCUUUCGCCUGUGACGAAGCGUGAGUGACGGUAAUGGGUAAAGAAGCACCGGCUAACUACGUG
This 468-nucleotide ribosomal RNA is filed under the name uncultured bacterium. Its description in RNAcentral is "partial 16S ribosomal RNA". It matches the Rfam family "Bacterial small subunit ribosomal RNA", at positions 28 to 507 of the family's 1533-position model. The record is from RNAcentral.